Molecule: transfer RNA, 77 nt
Filed under: Acidobacteriota bacterium
Lineage: Bacteria; Pseudomonadati; Acidobacteriota
Also listed under: 5 other names
Description: Acidobacteria bacterium (activated sludge metagenome) tRNA-Arg
Rfam family: tRNA
About the family: Transfer RNA (tRNA) molecules are approximately 80 nucleotides in length. Their secondary structure includes four short double-helical elements and three loops (D, anti-codon, and T loops).
Source: RNAcentral
CUGCCUGUAGCUCAGCUGGAUAGAGCGGCGGCCUUCUAAGCCGCGGGUCGGGGGUUCGAAUCCCUCCAGGCAGGCCA